Molecule: transfer RNA, 84 nt
Filed under: Acetobacter orientalis NRIC 0481
Lineage: Bacteria; Pseudomonadati; Pseudomonadota; Alphaproteobacteria; Acetobacterales; Acetobacteraceae
Also listed under: 1 other name
Description: tRNA-Leu
Rfam family: tRNA
About the family: Transfer RNA (tRNA) molecules are approximately 80 nucleotides in length. Their secondary structure includes four short double-helical elements and three loops (D, anti-codon, and T loops).
Source: RNAcentral
GCGAGAGUGACGGAAUCGGUAGACGUAGUCGGCUCAAAAUCGACCGCCUUUACGGGCAUAGGGGUUCGAGUCCCCUCUCUCGCA